Molecule: long non-coding RNA, 1245 nt
Organism: Carassius gibelio (silver crucian carp)
Lineage: Eukaryota; Metazoa; Chordata; Actinopteri; Cypriniformes; Cyprinidae
Exons: 3
Source: RefSeq, a predicted model, not a curated record
AGAUGUUAAAAGCAAGAGACAUGGGAGAGCAUCAUUCCUUUGAGAUUUUAUAAAUCAAACCAACUUUGGAGUUGUCUGAUUUGGAGAGUCAUUCUUCUUGGUCUGCGCUCUUAGAGGCCACUGAUGAAGAACAGGCGGUGACUGGGAUGAAUCCUGGUCAGAGAGGAGAAUCUUCUUUCCCCUAAACAGCACUGGUUUUAAAGGAGGACGCUGCCCUGGAUGAUGUAGAAGAUGUCACAUGCUGUGCUGAUGGGGCUUCUUCAUGAUUACAUCAGUUAUGCUAAAGAGAUCAUGAAAAUUGACCGUGAUGCAUGAUCUGUAUUCAUGGACUAUGAAACAAACUGUAAGUGUAUAAUUUGUUAAAAAAAAAAGUUAAAUGCUUUUUCUGUGUUGUUUAGUAGAAGAGUUUACACUCUGUCAUUCAUACACCUGCUCACAUUCUUUCACACACACACACACACACACACACACAUGCGUCUGUUAAAGGUUAUAAUAUCAAAGUUAAUGUUGUGAUUUAUUUGUGUACUGUCAUGCCAGAAUAGUUGGAAAAAAACUAACUAAUUGUAAAUUUAUUGUAUGUGUUUUCGUAUAUUUUUAUACAAUAUAUACAAUUGAACAAAGUCCAAUUUGAUCUUAAGUUAUAUUCAUCAAAUGUUCAAUGCUUUAUGAACUCUGUAGCUGUUAAUGCCAUCCUUUUCUGCAUUUCUUCUAACAUGUUACUUUUUGACUUUUCUCUUAUUUUUAAUAAAUAUUUUCCUUUUGGUAAUUAUUAUUUGUGUGUAAAAGUGAUAUUUAAAAUGAACAACAUUUGUAGGUUUAAUGCCUAGCUCAAUUUGGGUUAAUUUUAACGUAGAAAUGCAUUGUUUCCCCACAUGGCUGCACUCUGCGAGUUUAUGUUCUGCCAGCAGGAGGCGCUAGGAGCGGGAGAGGUAGGUUUCUCCGGUAACGGCUGCAGAGCGGUGCUGAGCUCACAAACGCUGCCUUAUCAAGCACAUGCGAAAUGAUAUCGAACAUUUUCUAAAUACAGUAGUUUUCCUUCUGAAAUACAGUGAUAAAAAACACCCGCUCUGGUUUUUUAAACCCUGCAAUAUAGUAAUUUUAAACCAUAAAAAAGGCAACCCAGCAGGCUGGGUUAAAUAUGAUAACCCAACUGGUUGGGUUAAAACAACCCAGCGCUUGGUUCGUCCCUUUUUGACCCAGCGCUGGGUUGUCAAAAUAACCCAAAUUGGGUUGUUUUCAACCCAG